UCCCUGGUGGCCUAGUGGUUAAGGUUAUGGCAUUGUCACUGCUAUAGCUCAGGUCACUGCUGUGGUGUGGGUUUGAUCCCUGACCUGGGAG
Non-coding RNA from Sus scrofa (pig), 91 nucleotides. NCBI's taxonomy places the organism in Eukaryota, Metazoa, Chordata, Mammalia, Artiodactyla, Suidae. The record is from Rfam.